Molecule: ribosomal RNA, 404 nt
Filed under: Actinomycetes bacterium
Lineage: Bacteria; Bacillati; Actinomycetota; Actinomycetes
Description: Actinobacteria bacterium partial 16S ribosomal RNA
Rfam family: Bacterial small subunit ribosomal RNA
Source: RNAcentral
UGGGGAAUAUUGGACAAUGGGCGCAAGCCUGAUCCAGCCAUGCCGCGUGAGUGAUGACGGCCCUAGGGUUGUAAAGCUCUUUCACCGGUGAAGAUAAUGACGGUACCCGGAGAAGAAGACCCGGCUAACUUCGUGCCAGCAGCCGCGGUAAUACGAAGGGGGCUAGCGUUGUUCGGAUUUACUGGGCGUAAAGCGCACGUAGGCGGACUUUUAAGUCAGGGGUGAAAUCCCGGGGCUCAACCCCGGAACUGCCUUUGAUACUGGAAGUCUGGAGUAUGGGAGAGGUGAGUGGAAUUCCGAGUGUAGAGGUGAAAUUCGUAGAUAUUCGGAGGAACACCAGUGGCGAAGGCGGCUCACUGGACCAUUACUGACGCUGAGGUGCGAAAGCGUGGGGAGCAAACAGG